GACGAACGCUGGCGGCGUGCCUAAUACAUGCAAGUCGAACGCAUUUUCUUUCACCGUAGCUUGCUACACCGAAAGAAAAUGAGUGGCGAACGGGUGAGUAACACGUGGGUAACCUGCCCAUCAGCGGGGGAUAACACUUGGAAACAGGUGCUAAUACCGCAUAAUUCCAUUUACCGCAUGGUAGAUGGAUGAAAGGCGCUUUUGCGUCACUGAUGGAUGGACCCGCGGUGCAUUAGCUAGUGGGUGGGGUAACGGCCUACCAAGGCUGCGAUGCAUAGCCGACCUGGGAGGGUGAUCGGCCACACUGGGACUGAGACACGGCCCAGACUCCUACGGGAGGCAGCAGUAGGGAAUCUUCGGCAAUGGACACAAGUCUGACCGAGCAACGCCGCGUGAGUGAAGAAGGGUUUCGGGUCGUAAAACUCUGUUGUUAGAGAAGAACAAGGAUGAGAGUGGAAAGUUCAUCCCUUGACGGUAUCUAACCAGAAAGCCACGGCUAACUACGUG
Molecule: ribosomal RNA, 507 nt
Filed under: uncultured bacterium
Lineage: Bacteria
Description: partial 16S ribosomal RNA
Rfam family: Bacterial small subunit ribosomal RNA
Source: RNAcentral